RNAcentral lists this transfer RNA (89 nucleotides) under Ophioglossum vulgatum (southern adder's-tongue). RNAcentral describes it as "tRNA-Ser". It matches the Rfam family "tRNA". From Rfam's summary of the family: Transfer RNA (tRNA) molecules are approximately 80 nucleotides in length. Their secondary structure includes four short double-helical elements and three loops (D, anti-codon, and T loops). Further hydrogen bonds mediate the characteristic L-shaped molecular structure. tRNAs have two regions of fundamental functional importance: the anti-codon, which is responsible for specific mRNA codon recognition, and the 3' end, to which the tRNAs corresponding amino acid is attached (by aminoacyl-tRNA synthetases). tRNAs cope with the degeneracy of the genetic code in two manners: having more than one tRNA (with a specific anti-codon) for a particular amino acid; and 'wobble' base-pairing, i.e. permitting non-standard base-pairing at the 3rd anti-codon position. The record is from RNAcentral. RNAcentral also lists the same sequence under 2 other names. Lineage: Eukaryota; Viridiplantae; Streptophyta; Polypodiopsida; Ophioglossales; Ophioglossaceae.
GGAGAGGUGGCCGAGCGGUUUAUGGCUCCAGUCUUGAAAACUGGCAUAGUUUUUGAUUACUAUCGAGGGUUCGAAUCCCUCUCUCUCCC